This 898-nucleotide long non-coding RNA is filed under the name Mus musculus (house mouse). RNAcentral describes it as "long non-coding RNA chr7:45814021-45814919". The record is from RNAcentral. Lineage: Eukaryota; Metazoa; Chordata; Mammalia; Rodentia; Muridae.
AGCCUCGCCACUGCCCUGCUGUCCGCGGCGGGGCUCGGGAGCCGCUCCGCCCGCCCGCCCGCCUCGCCCGGCCUACCGUAGACACCGUCCUCCAUGGCGGCUAGGAAGGCCCGCGGGGAGUCCGGGGCGGUUCCGCCGGCUGGGCCUGCGUCCGCGUCGGCCCGCGGGCUCGAGUGAGCCCGCUCAAACGCCCCAGGAGCCACCGCCGCCUCCUCAGCGCCCGUCCUCAGCGCCGAAAAGACUCUCCCUUCACGGCCCAACCGCCCGGCCGGUGGGGCCCGCCCCUUGCUUUGACACCACCCAAUCUGCUGCGGGUCUCCCAGAAUGCUCCGCCCCCUAGCCCCACAGGAUCAUUUCCAGGACCAAUAGGCACACAAGAAGGAGAUGCAGGCACGUACAGCUGGCGAUAGACUGCUAGCCUGACCAAUCGGACUGUGGGUAGUGUGCUCGGUCCCGCCCCCGAAACAAAGGAAAAUCCUUGGCAGCUUUAUCCUCCAAUAAGAAAAUUGAUAAAGAAGUGACCAGGAGGUGUGGCUUCAUGGAGAGGGGAGAUUGCGCCUGCGCACAAGCCAGACUAGCGGUACUUAACCCUCCACCCCCCCCCAACAGGCAUUCGUUGUUAGGGGGCGGUGCUUUGUUAGUUUUGUUGUCAAGGGCGGGGUCUCAACCUUGGGUUGCAGCUCGAGCCACACCUCCUGGCCCUCCACGCUAGCUUUUGACCGCAGUGGUUGCCAAGCAACUGCGAGCCACACAGGUCGGUCUUUUUGCCUCCUUUCUCAGGGUAAUUCUCUGCAGGUCGCUAUCUCUGAACCCUUUUCAUACCUCUACAUGAGACUUUCCUACAUACCUCAAAUCUCCUCAGAAUCAAAGGAUGGUAAAUAAAAGCAUUCUUUCUUCC